UAUAGAUGGAUCCGCGCUGCAUUAGCUAGUUGGUAAGGUAACGGCUUACCAAGGCAACGAUGCAUAGCCGACCUGAGAGGGUGAUCGGCCACACUGGAACUGAGACACGGUCCAGACUCCUACGGGAGGCAGCAGUAGGGAAUCUUCCGCAAUGGGCGAAAGCCUGACGGAGCAACGCCGCGUGAGUGAUGAAGGUCUUCGGAUCGUAAAACUCUGUUAUUAGGGAAGAACAUAUGUGUAAGUAACUGUGCACAUCUUGACGGUACCUAAUCAGAAAGCCACGGCUAACUACGUGCCAGCAGCCGCGGUAAUACGUAGGUGGCAAGCGUUAUCCGGAAUUAUUGGGCGUAAAGCGCGCGUAGGCGGUUUUUUAAGUCUGAUGUGAAAGCCCACGGCUCAACCGUGGAGGGUCAUUGGAAACUGGAAAACUUGAGUGCAGAAGAGGAAAGUGGAAUUCCA
RNAcentral lists this ribosomal RNA (459 nucleotides) under Staphylococcus aureus. Its description in RNAcentral is "bacterial SSU rRNA". It matches the Rfam family "Bacterial small subunit ribosomal RNA", at positions 220 to 671 of the family's 1533-position model. The record is from RNAcentral. Lineage: Bacteria; Bacillati; Bacillota; Bacilli; Caryophanales; Staphylococcaceae.